GGAUAGCUCAGUUGGUUAGAGCAUGGUGCUGAUAACACCAAGGCUGCAGGUUCAAUCCCUUUUUGGGACA
Molecule: non-coding RNA, 70 nt
Organism: Podarcis lilfordi (Lilford's wall lizard)
Lineage: Eukaryota; Metazoa; Chordata; Lepidosauria; Squamata; Lacertidae
Source: the annotation of a GenBank genome assembly